This 148-nucleotide unclassified non-coding RNA is filed under the name uncultured fungus. Its description in RNAcentral is "sequence contains ITS1". Lineage: Eukaryota; Fungi. The record is from RNAcentral.
UAAUAAGUGUUUAUGGCACUUUAAAAUCCAUACCCACCUUGUGUGCAAUGUUUUUAACCUCCUUUUUUGAAAGAAAAAGGAUGGUUCACUAUCCACAUCAGUCUUUUUUUCCCUAGUCUACAUUCGAGUAAAUAAAAAAACUCUAAUA